UUACUGUUGCUACGUCUGACAAGCCCUGGCGCUCUCAUGCCACACAUCAGGUUCUCACGCAGUGAAAAAUACAUCACGGGCAAAGAAGACACUGACAACACACUGACAGACAAGACGGAACAGGAUUUAUUGUUUUAAAUUC
Molecule: long non-coding RNA, 142 nt
Organism: Sinocyclocheilus rhinocerous
Lineage: Eukaryota; Metazoa; Chordata; Actinopteri; Cypriniformes; Cyprinidae
Exons: 3
Source: RefSeq, a predicted model, not a curated record